AUUGAACGCUGGCGGAAUGCUUUACACAUGCAAGUCGAACGGCAGCACGGGAGCUUGCUCCUGGUGGCGAGUGGCGAACGGGUGAGUAAUGCGUCGGAACGUGCCGAGUAAUGGGGGAUAACGCAGCGAAAGUUGUGCUAAUACCGCAUACGCCCUGAGGGGGAAAGUGGGGGAUCGCAAGACCUCACGUUAUUCGAGCGGCCGACGUCUGAUUAGCUAGUUGGUGGGGUAAAGGCCCACCAAGGCGACGAUCAGUAGCGGGUCUGAGAGGAUGAUCCGCCACACUGGGACUGAGACACGGCCCAGACUCCUACGGGAGGCAGCAGUGGGGAAUUUUGGACAAUGGGGGCAACCCUGAUCCAGCCAUUCCGCGUGAGUGAAGAAGGCCUCGGUUGUAAGUACGUCUUUCUAGCUGGAGUG
Molecule: ribosomal RNA, 420 nt
Filed under: uncultured bacterium
Lineage: Bacteria
Description: bacterial SSU rRNA
Rfam family: Bacterial small subunit ribosomal RNA
Source: RNAcentral